ACAUGCAAGUCGAACGGUGUCUUCGGACACAGUGGCGGACGGGUGAGUAACGCGUGAGAAUCUGGCUUCAGGUCGGGGACAACCACUGGAAACGGUGGCUAAUACCGGAUGUGCCGAGAGGUGAAAGGCUUGCUGCCUGAAGAUGAGCUCGCGUCUGAUUAGCUAGUAGGUGGGGUAAAGCCUACCUAGGCGACGAUCAGUAGCUGGUCUGAGAGGAUGAUCAGCCACACUGGGACUGAGACACGGCCCAGACUCCUACGGGAGGCAGCAGUGGGGAAUUUUCCGCAAUGGGCGAAAGCCUGACGGAGCAAUACCGCGUGAGGGAGGAAGGCUCUUGGGUCGUAAACCUCUUUUCUCAGGGAAGAACACAAUGACGGUACCUGAGGAAUCAGCAUCGGCUAACUCCGUGCCAGCAGCCGCGGUAAUACGGAGGAUGCAAGCGUUAUCCGGAAUGAUUGGGCGUAAAGCGUCCGCAGGUGGCUAUGUAAGUCUGCUGUUAAAGAGUGAGGCUCAACCUCAUAAAAGCAGUGGAAACUACAUGGCUAGAGUGCGUUCGGGGCAGAGGGAAUUCCUGGUGUAGCGGUGAAAUGCGUAGAGAUCAGGAAGAACACCGGUGGCGAAAGCGCUCUGCUAGGCCGCAACUGACACUCAUGGACGAAAGCUAGGGGAGCGAAUGGGAUUAGAUACCCCAGUAGUCCUAGCCGUAAACGAUGGAUACUAGGCGUGGCUUGUAUCGACCCGAGCCGUGCCGUAGCUAACGCGUUAAGUAUCCCGCCUGGGGAGUACGCAGGCAACUGUGAAACUCAAAGGAAUUGACGGGGGCCCGCACAAGCGGUGGAGUAUGUGGUUUAAUUCGAUGCAACGCGAAGAACCUUACCAAGACUUGACAUGUCGCGAACCUUUGUGAAAGCAGAGGGUGCCUUCGGGAGCGCGAACACAGGUGGUGCAUGGCUGUCGUCAGCUCGUGUCGUGAGAUGUUGGGUUAAGUCCCGCAACGAGCGCAACCCUCGUUUUUAGUUGCCAGCAUUAAGUUGGGCACUCUAGAGAGACUGCCGGUGACAAACCGGAGGAAGGUGGGGAUGACGUCAAGUCAGCAUGCCCCUUACGUCUUGGGCUACACACGUACUACAAUGCUACGGACAGAGGGCAGCAAGCAUGCGAAUGCAAGCAAAUCCCGUAAACCGUAGCUCAGUUCAGAUCGCAGGCUGCAACUCGCCUGCGUGAAGGAGGAAUCGCUAGUAAUUGCAGGUCAGCAUACUGCAGUGAAUUCGUUCCCGGGCCUUGUACACACCGCCCGUCACACCAUGGAAGCUGGCAACGCCCGAAGUCAUUACCCCAACUUUUCGGAGAGGGAUGCCUAAGGCAGUGCUGGUGACUGGGGUGAAGUCGUAACAAGGUAGCCGUACCGGAAGGUGUGGCUGGAU
This 1424-nucleotide ribosomal RNA is filed under the name Nostoc sp. ACSSI 114. RNAcentral describes it as "bacterial SSU rRNA". It matches the Rfam family "Bacterial small subunit ribosomal RNA". Lineage: Bacteria; Bacillati; Cyanobacteriota; Cyanophyceae; Nostocales; Nostocaceae. The record is from RNAcentral.